AUUGAAACCCCGGUUCUCGUCCGAUCUCCGAAGUUAAGCAACGUCGAGCAUGGUUAGUGCCUAGAUGGAUGACCGCUUGGGAAUCCCAGGUGAUGUAA
This 98-nucleotide ribosomal RNA is filed under the name Acanthosepion pharaonis. The record is from RNAcentral. Lineage: Eukaryota; Metazoa; Mollusca; Cephalopoda; Sepiida; Sepiidae.